GUCUCGACCUCUGAGUUGUGACAUUGAUGAUAAUAUACAUAAACGAAUCUCAUUUCAAAAAUAACUUUAUUAUACAACCCAAAUCUCGUUGUCGAUCCAAUUAUAUAGCCAUCAUUAUCUUGUAGGAAGCACAUCAUACCAUUGCUACCUUUAAUAAUUUCAAAGUUUUCUACACCAAAAUGUAGAUAAGAACGUUGUUGAAAGGGCACUUACACAAAUCUCAUGCCCUCAAUGCUUCAAUGGCAGACAUAGAUCAUCUCGGGCAUCAUCUAUGCAGUUGGCGGUUUAAUUCUAUCUUAGUCCAGUUUCACAUUAGAGUAGAGAAGGGUGUCCCUCGUGAGAGGCAUCCUUAGAAGGCAGCACGACCCCAUAAGAGUAGCAAUCAAAAGGAUGAUUCCUGUGAGCCAGGCAAGGGUUGUCCUAACCAAAAUCACUUCUUGAAUAGUUGUGUUAACUUUGACUUCUUCGACCAACCAACGUGGAGUCAACCGAGGGUUAAACAUCACAUUUAAUCCUUUUUCUGCCUUUGGUGAUGAUGAUCCAGAAAAGAAAACAACUCCAACAAUUUGACCAUCAUAUGCUUUUUGGAGUAAGUGGAAUAUCUUGGACAAAGCAACGACAAAUAGUCUCGAUCUACGAUCAACAUCUCCCUCAGAAUCAAUUUCAUCCUGGAAUGCCUUGAUGCUAUCAAAAGAGCCAGUGAUGAGCUCAGAUGGACUUGGAACAUUUUGUGACAAAUCCUCAUGAAUGUGAAUAGCCCUCUUAAUAUUGUGAAAGAGACACAAAAGACUACCUAUAAAUUCUCUGUCCCCCGUCUUAGACAGAUGAAGAUUGAUCUUAACAUCAUCAGUCAGGCGCACAGUAAACUCUCCAUUUAAAGUUUUUGAUGCAUCAGCAACAUAUGAUCCACCUAUUAAAGAUGCAAACUCUUUAAUAUCUUCAUCAGUAUAAUCAGACAAUGGUUCAUUCAAAGGAACAACAGACACUUCAUCUUCACCAGGAAGUUGGAUGUCAGCACUCUCAGAACCUACAUGAACCUUGCUCGUAAGAACAUUGCUGGACAUGCCACUUUCUAGGCUUACAAUUUCAGGGUCAUAUUCUCCUUUAAUUUGAAGCAUAAAGACUGAACGAGGCCUAUCAAGCGGAU
RNAcentral lists this unclassified non-coding RNA (1147 nucleotides) under Hevea brasiliensis (rubber tree). The record is from RNAcentral. Lineage: Eukaryota; Viridiplantae; Streptophyta; Magnoliopsida; Malpighiales; Euphorbiaceae.